GAUGAAGAACGCAGCAAAAUGCGAUACUUGGUGUGAAUUGCAGAAUCCCGUGAACCAUCGAGUUUUUGAACGCAAGUUGCGCCCGAAGCCUUUUGGCCGAGGGCACGUCUGCCUGGGCGUCACGCAUCGCGUCGCCCCCCCACAAUUCUCCGUAAAGGGAACUUGUGUUUUGGGGGCGGAUAUUGGUCUCCCGUGCUCAUGGCGUGGUUGGCCGAAAUAGGAGUCCUUUCGAUGGACGCACGAACUAGUGGUGGUCGUAAAAACCCUCGUCUUUUGUUUCGUGCUGUUGCUCGCAAGGUAAACUCUUUAAAAACCCCAAUGUGUCGUCUCUUGACGACGCUUCGACCGCGACCCCAGGUCAGGCGGGACUACCCGCUGAGUUUAAGCACAUCAAUAAGCGGAGGA
RNAcentral lists this unclassified non-coding RNA (405 nucleotides) under soil metagenome. RNAcentral's name for it is "partial contains 5.8S ribosomal RNA, internal transcribed spacer 2, and large subunit ribosomal RNA". The stretch from base 1 to 122 matches the Rfam family "5.8S ribosomal RNA", at positions 35 to 154 of the family's 154-position model. The record is from RNAcentral.